UUAAAUUGAAGAGUUUGAUCAUGGCUCAGAUUGAACGCUGGCGGCAGGCCUAACACAUGCAAGUCGAACGGUAACAGGAAGCAGCUUGCUGUUUCGCUGACGAGUGGCGGACGGGUGAGUAAUGUCUGGGAAACUGCCUGAUGGAGGGGGAUAACUACUGG
Molecule: ribosomal RNA, 161 nt
Filed under: Salmonella enterica subsp. enterica serovar Newport
Lineage: Bacteria; Pseudomonadati; Pseudomonadota; Gammaproteobacteria; Enterobacterales; Enterobacteriaceae
Also listed under: 1 other name
Description: partial 16S ribosomal RNA
Rfam family: Bacterial small subunit ribosomal RNA
Source: RNAcentral